GCUAAGAAUCUUGCGCAAUGGGCGAAAGCCUGACGCAGCAACGCCGCGUGGGGGACGAAGGCCCUCGGGUCGUAAACCCCUUUUGCGAGGGAAGAAGUUCUGACGGUACCUCGCGAAUAAGCCACGGCUAACUACGUGCCAGCAGCCGCGGUAAUACGUAGGUGGCGAGCGUUGUCCGGAUUUACUGGGCGUAAAGAGCCCGCAGGCGGCUUGGUAAGUUUGGGGUGAAAUCUCCCGGCUCAACUGGGAGGGUGCCUCGAAAACUACCAGGCUUGAGGCAUGGAGAGGGAUGCGGAAUUCCCGGUGUAGUGGUGAAAUGCGUAGAUAUCGGGAGGAACACCAGUGGCGAAGGCGGCAUCCUGGCCAUGUCCUGACGCUCAGGGGCGAAAGCGUGGGGAGCAAACCGGAUUAGAUACCCCUGUAGUCC
This 427-nucleotide ribosomal RNA is filed under the name uncultured bacterium. RNAcentral describes it as "bacterial SSU rRNA". It matches the Rfam family "Bacterial small subunit ribosomal RNA", at positions 354 to 796 of the family's 1533-position model. The record is from RNAcentral.